GACGAACGCUGGCGGCGCGCCUAACACAUGCAAGUCGAACGGAGUCACGAGGAGCUUGCUUUUCUUGACCUAGUGGCGAACGGGUGAGUAACGCGUGAGUAACCUGCCCUGGAGUGGGGGACAACAGUUGGAAACGACUGCUAAUACCGCAUAAGCCCACGGAUCCGCAUGGAUCUGCGGGAAAAGGAUUUAUUCGCUUCAGGAUGGACUCGCGUCCAAUUAGCUAGUUGGUGAGGUAACGGCCCACCAAGGCGACGAUUGGUAGCCGGACUGAGAGGUUGAACGGCCACAUUGGGACUGAGACACGGCCCAGACUCCUACGGGAGGCAGCAGUGGGGGAUAUUGCACAAUGGGGGAAACCCUGAUGCAGCGACGCCGCGUGGAGGAAGAAGGUUUUCGGAUUGUAAACUCCUGUCGUUAGGGACGAUAAUGACGGUACCUAACAAGAAAGCACCGGCUAACUACGUG
RNAcentral lists this ribosomal RNA (468 nucleotides) under uncultured bacterium. RNAcentral's name for it is "partial 16S ribosomal RNA". It matches the Rfam family "Bacterial small subunit ribosomal RNA", at positions 28 to 507 of the family's 1533-position model. The record is from RNAcentral.